RNAcentral lists this long non-coding RNA (331 nucleotides) under Ananas comosus (pineapple). RNAcentral's name for it is "long non-coding RNA (ACOM_LNC009712)". The record is from RNAcentral. Lineage: Eukaryota; Viridiplantae; Streptophyta; Magnoliopsida; Poales; Bromeliaceae.
AAAUUUGAAUUUAUUAUGCCGCCUCAAACUUUUUUAAAUUAUUGCAAUCAAACACUAUAACCUAAUUUAAUUUAUUAGAUAUUAAUUACCAGUAAUAUAAAAAUAAUAUAUUAGUAUUCUGAUCAAUAAUAUAAUAAUUAAGAUGUCAUAUUAUUUUUAUAUAAGUUGUACAUUAAUACUUAGUCAACUAAAUUAGACUAUGUGAUUUGGUUAUACUAGUUAGAAGGAUUUAAGUUAAAGAUUAUAAUAAAUAAAAAUUUGAAGACUAAAAUAUCAUAUUUUUUUAUAGUUUGAGAAAUCAAAAGUAUAAUUUAUUUAUUUUAUUAUAAUU